RNAcentral lists this small nuclear RNA (102 nucleotides) under Nelumbo nucifera (sacred lotus). Lineage: Eukaryota; Viridiplantae; Streptophyta; Magnoliopsida; Proteales; Nelumbonaceae. The record is from RNAcentral.
GUCUCUUCUGAGACAUAUGAUAAAAUUGGAACAAUACAAAGAAGAUUAGCAUUGGUCCCUGCACAAGAAUGACACACAAAUCGAGAAAUGGAAUAAUUUUUG